GAUGAAGAACGCAGCGAAAUGCGAUAAGUAAUGUGAAUUGCAGAAUUCAGUGAAUCAUCGAAUCUUUGAACGCACCUUGCGCCCUUUGGUAUUCCUUAGGGCAUGCCUGUUCGAGCGUCAUUUAAACCUUCAAGCUCAGCUUGGUGUUGGGUGACUGUCCGCUUCACCGCGGACUCGCCUCAAAAUUAUUGGCGGCCGGUACAUUGGCUUCGAGCGCAGCAGAAACGCGAACUCGGGCCCGUCGUAUUGGCUCCCAGAAGCUAUCUUCACAAUUUUGACCUCGGAUCAGGUAGGGAUACCCGCUGAACUUAAGCAUAUCAAUAAGCGGAGGA
This 332-nucleotide unclassified non-coding RNA is filed under the name soil metagenome. RNAcentral's name for it is "partial contains 5.8S ribosomal RNA, internal transcribed spacer 2, and large subunit ribosomal RNA". The stretch from base 1 to 120 matches the Rfam family "5.8S ribosomal RNA", at positions 35 to 154 of the family's 154-position model. The record is from RNAcentral.